Molecule: long non-coding RNA, 6983 nt
Organism: Neofelis nebulosa (Clouded leopard)
Lineage: Eukaryota; Metazoa; Chordata; Mammalia; Carnivora; Felidae
Exons: 23
Source: RefSeq, a predicted model, not a curated record
GUCUUUUUUGAAAAGGAGGGAGUCAUUGCAUCUUCAAGAAUUAAAUUAUUUUUUGAUACAGAUACUGCUGUUGUUUAAAAUCAAGUUUUCAAUCUUUGAAAUUUCUCCUGGUAUAUACACCUUAAAUGUGUAAAUGAUUUUCCCUAAAACUAAAUUUUACAAUUAUGUACAUCCAAUCAUUAGAGAUAACUUUUAUUCUGUAUUUACAUUUACUUCAUAAAAACACAUUAGAUCAGAUUCCAAGACUUAGGUUACAUGUGGAAACUAUAAAAGCUGCAGGAGAUGUUAUCAGUUGAAGAUCGACUGUGAAAUACCUACCUUAAGGAAUUUCUUCUUAACAAGUUGGAUGAUUUUCUCUAUUUUUCUCAAGGAUCUCUUUUGGUUGGAGAGUUGAUGUUUUACAUUUCAGUAAUGGUAGAAUAUAAUGGACCUGGAGUUAUUACUAUAAUUCAUUCUCUUAAAUGAAAUGUAUUGUUUCAUUGUAGCUUGGAUGUAAAUUUCUGGGCUUGCCACUUUUUUCCUCUCUCUCUAGGGAUGUUAAGAAAUAUAAAAUAAAUGAUAUAAUUCAAAUUCUUGAGGAUGAAAAUAUAUGGAUAAUGUGUAGAUUUUUGGUUAGAAUGCCUAUGUCAUUGUUAAGGUGGUGGGUUGGCUGUGUUGGGAAAGGUUCACACCUGCACCUUUUUAAGUCUUCAGGUGAAAAUGUUUUAAGAAUUUGGAAGUGCUUAUAAAGGCAAAUAGGGAAAUGUUUCAGGGUUUUAAAGAGAAAGUGCCUUUGAGUAAAGGCAAGAAUUGGCCUAUCUAUGACGCAGCAAAACUAUUCUAUUGAUUGAGUGCUAGUUAAGUUACCUUAGAUUCCAACUUAUUUAUGGACUGUUAUGCCAGACGAAAAUUUAUCUAGGAGCAAUGACUGUGAGUUUACCCUAGGCAAUUGGAAUAGUGUAAUGAGGUUUUAGUUAAUAUUAAAUUGUGCAUGAAAUAAUUACCAUCAUCAUCAUCACCUUAUCAUAGCAUUCGAUCUUUUUCUUUACAGUUUAUAAAGUGAUUCCCAGCUUUGAAAAUAAUUUAAAGAAGUCUUCUCACAUCCUUGACUGCUUAGAUGGAACUGGAGGUUCAGGGAUCUUUAACUGCCUUGUCCACAGCCAUGGGGCUGCGUAGUGACAAAAAGUAGGGAUUAAACUCAGGACCACUCAUAGUAAGUUUCAAGCUCAUCUCCCUGUUUAAUCAUAAUGCUGGCAAAGGACAUCCAGCCGAGAAGCUAUGGGAAGUAAGCCAGAGGCUCCAACUGUGCAUUGGAGGAAUGGAUAAGGAGGGACAGAUCAUCCCAAUGAUCAGAGGAAAGUCCUGAAGCUUUUGGCUUUCUAGCCAUCUUUCCAACAUAGACUAAUUGGUAAUUGUAGCUAGAGGUGAAGGGAAUGGAGAGAAGUAUUAGCCAAGAGAGAAAGAUAGACUGGUUGUUUUUAUUGUUGAAGAGAUCCAGAGGCAAAUUUUAUAGUUACAUUUUCAUCACUGCUUCUGUAAACUUAAUUACUUUCAUGGGAACUGUCUUUUUUUCACUUUAUUUUCCCAAAUAUUGUUAAAAAUAAUAGUAAUUUAUGCUUCAGGUGUGUAAAAUUGUCCUCUACCUGUGGAAAGUUCUGUGGAAAGACUCUUGUUUCUAAAUGUUUGCUAAUUGAGUGCAAUUUAAUUAGCCUUUUAAAGAAUUUAACGGUGUGUUCAGUGGUUUGGUUAAUGACAUACUGGUAAGAGGUAUAAAUUUUUUAAAACCGCUCAGUUUGAGAGAUAACUUGUUGUAAGUAUAUGAAUUUACAGGUAAGAAUUAGACUUCCAUAUUCCACUCAGAGCCAUUCUUUCUGUGGUCACUUUAAGCGAUUUGCAUUGGCUCAACAGGUAAACUUUCACUUUCAUACUGGAUCUUUAGCACUAUAAAACUUUACUAUGUAUAAAUACAAUGAUCAUUUUAUAAAAAUUACAAUGCACUAAAACAUUUUCUUAUAUUAAAUCUUCACAUUUUAUUUCCUUUUAAUAUUGAAACUACUUAGGCCAAGGAAAAAUAAGUAAUAGUUUUAAGUGUUAAAGCCAUUUUGAUGAAGAAAGAUUGAAUUUUAAAAGUUUAAUUCAAAAAUAAACAGAAUAAAUGAAAAAUACUUAUCAUGUUGGGCUUUAUUAGUGUGGUUUAAAAUAAGUCAGAACUGGCUGUGUGAGGUGCCUGGGGUACUGUACCACUUUAUAUGUUCUUGUACAUUUUUAGUUUCAAAAUGGUGAAAAAUGUACAGAUUUUUUUAAAUGACAGCAACACACUAUUCAAGAUUUUCAAUAUAUUCUCUUUAUAAAGCAAAAUAUGUGUUUGAUAAAUAACUAAGUGGUUGAUAUUUUAAUAUCCAAUGGCAGUUGUCAUUGAUAUUUAGUGUAUAUAUACAUAUUUUUAAAACUAACUCAAUUACAAUUGAAUAAAUAUAACAUUUACUCUCAGAAAAUAACAGUGAUGUUUUAUUUUAUAGAAUUUGAGAUCCAGAUUUAUUAUUCUGUAAAAUAUAUUAAAAAUGUGCAAAAUCAGAAGUCUCAGUUAGUUUUUUUUUUCUUCUUUCCCUCAUAUUAAGCAGUUUCCUAGCAAUUAAAAUGGCUGCUGAGAAUAUAAAAGCUAUAUUCAGUCACAGUGGAACGGAGUACUGUGAUUACUUAACAGUGUCUGCAUGGGGGUAGUGAAUUGAAUUUGGUUCAGAAAUAUUCUUUCUUUCCACUUAGCUUCCAUAGGAGGAAUAUAUGUGCAUGCCUUGACUUUGGGAUUCACCGUGUAAGCUACUCUGACCAGCAGAGUGAGGCACAAGUGGCUUGUGUAUGCCUGAGACUAGACUUAAGAGACUUUGCAUGUUGCCACUUGCUCCGUUCUGCUCUUGCCCCCACCAUGAGAUGAACAUGUCCUACCUGGCCUGGUGUCUCCAAAGGAAAACAAAAGCCCAGAUCAGCUGAUGUCCAGAUAAUCAACAAAUGGAUGAAGAGCCCCAGCUGAGAGCAGCAGGGUUCCCCAGGCCAGUUCAGGUGACCUCCACCAGACAGUUUUCCCCUCAAUAUUCUUGAAACUUCUCUCAAGGGGAGCAUUUUUUUUUCUUCACGGUUUGUGUGGUACAUGCUCUCUGAACAAUAUUUGGCGGUGCAAUAUUUGGAGGGACUUCCACAUGCCUGAGUCUUGAGCUAGAAGAAAAGGAUUUAGGAACUUGACCUCUUGCAUCUGAAAGAUUGCCAAGAUCUUGCUUAAAGCAUACCGACCUACAUUAAUCCCUGCUGAAAGUAUCAUGCAAGAUUCCAUCUUCCUUUUAAAUUAAGCAUAUCUUACCAGUCAUCUCUUUCUGCCUUCAGCCUUGGCCUGAAUUAUAUCUCUGGCGCUCCUGGUUCUCCAGUUGGCAGAAGGCAGAUUGUGAGACUUGACCUCCAUAACCUCUAUUUUGUUUUAUUGUUUUUCCUGAGAAUUUCUACAAAUUUUCCAAUGAAAUUGUACCUGGACUCCUUGUGAAAUAAUUCUUGACAUGGGAUCAAGAGCAAGAAGAUUCAACUCAAAGAGAGAUAUCACAGGACUUACCUUGGCAGUGCAAUCACCAACACAGACAAGAGAAAAGAAAUCAGUGGAUUGGGGAGAGUUUGGAGUGGAGAGUCAAACGAGUGAUGAAGUCAAUUUUAGUUUGAAUUCAAAGAAACCGAACAAAAAUGAAUGGGAAAAAAAUUACAUCAUGUGCUCCAUGACCUCUUAAAAUGGGUUGCAUUGAAAAGGUUCCUCUCCCUUGGGCUCAUGUCCCGAGAAGCCUCUGAACCCAAUUAGCCUUGCUUUCCUUCACCUCUGCUUCUUCAGGACUUUUCAGAAUUUCUUAAGCAUUAAGGUGCAUAUUGGAUGUACUUGCUGACCCGUUUGUGGCUGUAGAGACCAUGUUACAAGUGCUGGCUGGAAUGAUGAUAAGAGAAGUCUCUGAAUGACUGAUGAACAGAAGCCCUCUGCCCCACUGAUACACCUGUCACAUAAACAUUAAAAACAAAGGCAGCUGGUGGAAGCCAUUGGACUGCAGAAUCUACUACUUGAAGCACAACACCACAGGAGGCUUUUUUUUUUCUCUCUGACAAUCGGGAUUAGUGCAAAAAGAGGUUUGAUAAGACUAAACAGUCCAAAGAUUUGACAGUCCUGACACCUGGCAUAUGAAAGAUGGAAUUCCUGAAUGGAAAUUAUUCUUAUUGAACUUCUCUGAAGAGUUUGGCUGGAAAGAAGUAUCUUUUCCAACGCCAGUACAUUCUCGGCGCUCCUUCAACUGGCUGAAAAAUGAGUGGCUCCUUUCAAGAGGCAGUAAGAUGAAUACGGUCAGCUCUACCCUUACACACUCUCGAUUCCUGAGGAAAAGAACAUGCUCUUCCUAUUGUCUAUGUCAAAUUUCUGGAUUCUGAUUAGCCUGAUUUGUCUUGCACCAAUCCUGUUCCCAGGGCAUGAAAUACUUGGAUUGUCCAAGCCAGGGUCACGUUCCCAACCUGGAGGCCAGGUUCCAGAUUACUGGGUUAUUAAAAAAGGAUAAAACACAAAAACCCAGUGAAGAAUUAUACAGGGCCAGGUCCCCAACAAAGGAGCUUCUGUCCACACGGAGUUUGGGGCCUGCCCAGUGGCACAUGGCAGCGUUCUGGUUCGGCAACCUGGAAACUCCCAAAUCCCAUACUACUGGGAUUUUUAUGGAGGCCUUCUCAGAUUCUUGCUGCUCAUUCACUGUGGACCCAGUCUCCUGAUGACAAUGAUGGUCCACGGAUGUAAACUCACCUGUCAGCAGUAUUUUCAUGACCAUUUUGGAAAAUUAGAGCACUGUCCAGAAUAAUAAAUGAAAUUCAGGGAAAUGGGAAAACCAAAACUUGACAUGAUCCAUCCAGAAUGUACUUCCUGCCUUUUGAACACCAAGUAAAUUUUCUUUGGAGACUCUUCUUAAGUGUCCAUCUCAAUUAAACCUUCAUGGCCCUCCUUCAAGACAGAGUUAGAGAUGCGUCCCUCUGUACUCUCAUUUGAGCACCGAGCCAAUUACAAAGCAGGAGCUGUUAUCUCGAUCCAAUACUCAUGUGCUAUGAAGAGUUCUCAUUGGCCUUUGCUUGUUAAGAACCAACUCAUUCUGAUAGGUGCCUAUGGAAACAGGGAGCUGUUGUUGCCUGUUGGGACCUCGUUUGAUAUGUUCAGCUGUGAACGCUCAACAUUUAACCUGCUGGAAGUCUCAAUAAAUGUAUAUUAACUGUUGACUGACUAUACUAAAUGAAUAAAUGAAGUUUGUUCGUGUAUCAACAGUGCUGUGUUUUCUUCCGUGUCACAGCCACCAGCAGUUUGGAGAACAGUGAAGGCUGAACUGUAUUAUACAUAUCAACAAACGUGGUUUGCCCCUGAUUAUACUUGUGACCUUGUACAGGGGACUUCGGUCUCUAGACCCUGCUUUUCUCCUCUGUAGAUUGAGGGAAUUAAACCAGGUAAUCUCUAGAGUCCCUUCCUACUAUUCCAUCCAGUGAUUAGUGUGUGAUGUAGCACGUGUUCUGAUAUUCGUUACAAUAUUCGGGGGCCGGCCGACUAACCACUCACUCCUCAAAGACUACACGAGCUGAGAGUUUAAUAGGAGAAAGUGGUCAUUCGCUCCCAUCCACCUUUGUACUACUGAUCCACGAUGAUGCUACCUAGCCAGGAUAAACCCACUGUGGGAUGACAAAAGUAAUAUGGACCACCAGGAAAGGAAAUCACCAUAUUCCAGACUCUGUGCUGGUACCCUUUACCAGACAUACACCAUCAGCAGCCAGUUCUGUGAAUCUCGCAGUUGGUGAACCCUGCUGGUGAGGUUCCCCGCCUCCUCUGCCUAUGCUUCCUUGGUAUCAAAAGUGCCUUCUGCUGCUUUACCUGUUGAACUUCUCUGAAGAAAAAAGUUCUUCCUCAUACCAUUAACACGUUUAUGGUUCCAGAGAAACGAAAUCUAAGCAUACAGCAAUGUAAGAAUCCAAAGUGGUAGAAGAUAAAUACCAGAGACAAAAUGGAUCCCAGGACCUCCUAUCCGGACUGUAGCAUUAUUUUGUGUAUUCAUUUAUUUGAAGAAGGGAAAUCUGCCUUCAUGAAGAAAAUGUACUGGUCACAAGGAGUUGGACUGUUUUGAUCUUGCACGGCAAGUUCUCACUACAAAUUCAUUAACUGAGUGGAUUCCUAAGUGGCUUGAGUACAGUGAAUUUUUCAUCCUAUGUACAAAAAAAAAAAAUGCAACAGAAGGCAAUACAGCCAAGUAUUGAGGAAUGAGGGAAUUUGGUGAUUGGCCACUAGUGACUGGCAAACUGGGACAGCAGGAUCUUGAGUUUCCAACAGUGAGUCUCAUAGUUCAGACAUCCAGAGCCACACUAAACCUUCAGAUCUGUAUGCUGACUGAGAAAGUACAGAUGUGAUUGGAGCAUCAUUAUCCUAACUGCCAGCAGAAUUCUGCUAGACCCAAAGUCCUCCACAGGUCUUCCCGACUAGGAAAAGAAAAAGGACAGAAGAGAGGAGUGAGAAGGAACAGUGGGCCAUCAGGAGAGAAGUGAAAAAGUAGUCAACUCUAAGGUUCAUGAAUAAUGAACUACUGUGCUACCCCCUGAAGAAGUAUAGGAUAAAGUAAAGAUAUUGGACAACCAUCAUCAUUCCAGGACUAUUAUCCUGAUAUUCAGAGAAGGAAAACAAAAGUGAUGAGUUAUGUUAUGUUUGUGGCUUUCUCUUUAGAGGCUUUCUAACCCAUGGUGCAGGGAGGGGAAUCCCAACUACAGAAUGGCAUUCUAUCUGAAGAGGCAGAGAUCAUGGGGCACCUGGGUAGCUCAGUUGGUUGAGCAUCUGAAUAGGUUCAGGUCAUGAUCUUGCAGUUCAGCUCCUGAGUUUGAACACCACAUGGGGCUCUGUGCUGACAGCUCAGAGCCUGCAGCCUGCUUUGGAUUCUGUGUCUUCCUCCCUCUCUGGCCCUCUCCUGCUUGCUCUCUCUCUC